Molecule: RNA transcript, 10263 nt
Organism: Branchiostoma belcheri (Belcher's lancelet)
Lineage: Eukaryota; Metazoa; Chordata; Leptocardii; Amphioxiformes; Branchiostomatidae
Gene name: phthiocerol/phenolphthiocerol synthesis polyketide synthase type I PpsD-like
Exons: 8
Source: RefSeq, a predicted model, not a curated record
UCAACACGGAACGGACAGACUGUCCGGACGUCCGAAAAUGAGGAACUGGUCUGUCGCGAUGUCGGUGUUGAUUUAUUUCAUAAGUUUCAAAAAGAUACUCAUUACCUUUGCAUAAGACACACUUUAAAAGUGUUCUAAUAAUGGAUGGAAAGGUAGCGAUUGUCGGUAUUGGUUGUCGCUACCCCGGCGGGGUGAACACACCGGGGGACUUCUGGUCCAUGUUGGCGGAGGGAAGGGACUGCACGAUCCCGCCCCCAGACGACAAGUACGACAGAUCGUUCCUCUGGCAUCCCAGCAGAACGCAGGGCAAACUUUACAACCGAUGCGGUGGCUACCUACAGGGCAACGUGUUCGAAUUCGACCGGCAGUUCUUCAAAAUGCCUCCAGAUGAAGCCAACCACCUGGACCCUCAAAUCCAACUACUGCUGGAAGUGACCUGGGAGGCGUUGGAGAAUGCAGGAAUUCCUCCAAGAUCCAUUCGUGGCUCCAACACCGGUGUUUACAUGGGGGUCACCUCGAAUGAGUACCUCACUUUGACAUCCUACCCAUAUUCUAACAUCAACCAGUAUUCCAACUCCGGCACAAACUCAUGCAUGGUGGCCAACCGUAUCUCCUACGAGUUUGACCUCCAUGGUCCAAGCUUCUCUGUGGACACCGCCUGCUCCUCAUCAUUAUACUCCAUCCAUCUUGCCUCUGAAGCCAUCAGGAAAGGAGAUUGCAGCAUGGCCAUAGCUGGGGGUGUCAACUUGAUGCUGUUACCAAUAAUCACAGUGGGCUUCUGCCAAGCAGGAAUGCUGUCACCAGAUGGCAAGUGUAAAAGUUUUGACGCCUCUGCAGAUGGAUAUUGCCGAAGUGAGGGCUCCGGGGUAGUUGUCCUCAAGCCACUCUCAAGAGCCCUGGCAGACGGUGACAGGAUCUAUGCUGUCAUUAGAGGAGGCACUUUAACCAAUGAUGGGAGAACACCAGGCAUCGCUAACCCCAGCUACGAUGCCCAACUGGAUCUUGUUGAGAAAGCGUGUGCAGCAGCCAAAGUACAUCCUCACAAAAUCGGGUACGUGGAGGCACAUGGAACUGGCACCAAAGUUGGAGACAGAACAGAGGCAAACGCACUCGGCCAGAUUCUUGGUAGGGGACGAAGAAGGGGAGAUCCACCGCUCUACAUUGGCUCGGUGAAGUCCAACUUCGGACACACGGAGGGGGCCGCAGGUGUAGCAGGGAUCAUCAAACUUGCGCUUAUGAUUAGCAAGGGCCAAAUUCCCAGGGUGGUGCACUUUUCGUCACCGAAUCCCGACAUACACUUUGAUCUGCUGAACGUCAAGGUUCCCAGGACUUUGGUACAGUGGGAAGAGGAUGAAAACAGGCUUGCAGGCUGCAGCUCUUUUGGCUUUGGUGGAGCUAAUGCUCACCUCAUCCUGGAGAAGCCCCCGUCUCCAAAUCGUCAUCCAGCUGUAGCCAACAGUAACAAAUUCAUCAAUCACAGUCAGUGCACAGAAGAAACAGAACAUGAGGCAAAGACCAUCAUGCUGCUGUCUGGGAACACCAAAGCUGCCCUAAAAGAACAAAUGGAACAUUGGAUCUCUUUCAUAACAGACACCAUACGUUUCAAUGAAGACCACUUCCAACAGAGUCUGUACACGGCUGCAAACCGUUAUCAACACCAUGCAGAAAGGCUAGCAAUAGUUGUCAACAGACCAGAUGAUGCCGUUCAGAAGCUAAAUCUCAUGAUGAGAGGAGAAAAGCUGAAGCCAGCGGUGGAGGGAAAGGUCCACGCGGAGUCUGACCGAAGCAAGAUGGUCUUUGUCUUUUCAGGAAUGGGAACUCAGUGGUGGGGAAUGGCCAGAAACCUUGCCCUGGAGGAUCCAGUGUUCGGUGACGUGAUACAGCGGUUUGAAGAUUUGCUGAAGACACUAGGAGCUGACUGGUCCAUCACCGACAUGUUGACCAAGGAGACAAGUCCAGACAAGAUCAACAGGACAGACAUCUCACAACCCUGCAUCUGCGCAGUUCAGAUGGGUUUGGUUGAGCUGUUGAAACAGUAUGACGUCAUACCCGAUGCCAUCAUUGGGCACAGCGUUGGAGAAGUGGCGGCAGCAUACGCCGCUGGUCUCAUAAGCUUCGAAGAUGCCGUGCGAGUGAUCUACCACAGAGGCAAGGCACUAAGCAAGACAAGUGGCCAUGGAAAAAUGCUAGCCGUACUGCACCCAACUGGAGAGGUGGAAGGGCUCGUGGAGAAAGACGACAACAAGAACAUCAUCGAUGUAGCUGCCACCAACAGUCCCAACCAGAUAGUGCUGUCCGGAGAUGUCAAUGCCAUUGAUACCUUCCACAACAAGCUGAAGAGUAAAGACAUCAAAUGUGUGCUCCUUAGAGUAAACAACGCAUUCCACAGCUACCAACAGGAACGAGUGAAGGAUGACAUUCUUACGAACCUGAAGAUUCUGUCAGCAUUAUCCGGCAGGACAACAGAGGCACAGAUCCCUAUGAUUUCCACUGUCACAAACAAAUGGCUGACGCCAGAGAUCACCAACAGUGCCGACUACUGGUGGACAAAUAUCAGGCAACAAGUCCGCUUCAUGCAGUCGGUACAAGUUCUCCUGCAGGAAGGCUACAACACUUUUGUCGAGAUAGGGGCGCAUCCAGUCUUGGGUUCUGCGCUAAAGGAUAUUGUAAGUGCCGUUAACUCACGCACAACUAAGCCAAACAUCAUACCCACUCUACUACGACCAAAAGACAUCUCUUCAACAGCCGAUGACCGUGAAAACAUACUGGUCACUACCGGAGCCUUGCAUGUGGUGGGGUACCCAGUCAACUUCAGCCGUGCGUUUGAGGAAAAGCACCGACGUGUUCACGACAUCCCUACAUACCCUUGGCAAAGGGUGCUGUGUAAUGCUAGUACAGACAGCAUUAUUUCACAGUACAAGUUUCCUCAGAGGGUACAUCCUUUACUUGGACAAGCACAGGAAACCACCGAAGGGACGAACAGCCAGAGGUCAAAGGUUUGGUGUUCCAAUCUUUCCGAGGAAUCAGUACCGUGGCUAAAACACCACGUCUUGGAUGGAAACGUGGUCGUCCCGGCUACAGCAUAUGUGGAGACAACACUGGCAGCAGCCUCCGACAUCUGUGAGGGUCAGAACUUAAUCUUGUUGAAAAACCUUCAGUUCAAACGUUUCAUGUUUGCCCCCACAUCAGAAGCGGUAAUCAAAUCAACGAUUCAACACAGAACCGCAACAGAAAAGCAGUUUGACCUGUACAGCAAAGAUGCCUCCGGUUCAUGGAUCCUUCAUGCCACAGCAGAGGUACACAAGGCAGACCUGACCAAACAAGCUGGAGCCACAGAUCCCCUUGCCAAUGUUGCAGAGAGGUGUUCCAAGACUAUUUCCAGCGAGCAGAUCUAUGAAGCUGCAGAGAAAGCUGGCUUUCAUCUCGGUAGCUCGUUCCACUGCGUUACCUCCUGCACAGCAUCUGACAGCUAUGAAGAAGCUCUGGUCACAGCAGAGGCCCCAGAAGAGAUUUCAAGAGAAUUUGGACGAUACAUCUGCCAUCCUGCUUUCAUGGACUCAUUUCUGCACACAUUUUUCUGUUUGUCACUCCUAAAAGACAAGAACACGAGAAAGACACCAGCAAAGCGAGUUCCACUCUCCAUGAAGUCUAUGCACAUGUUCACAAAAAUGCCGUCAAAGGUCACUCUCUACGUAAGAGUUUCAAAGAAAGGUCAACGCAAGGGGGUGGACAUCACAGUGACCGACACCAGCAACCACCAAGUCGUUUGCGAAAUCAAAGAGCUCAUGUUUGAGGAUAUGGAUGCAGGUUCGUCCUCUGGACUCAAGCUUUGGAAUCUUCAAUGGGAACAUCUUGUCAAGAAUGGAAGCAAUGAAGCGCAAGAGCCUACCGUAUACAAACAUGUGCUGGUCCUUCAUGAAAAUGAAAGCUUUGGCUCAACAGUGAGUACAGCUCUGCAGGCCAAUCUGGGUUGCACAGUUGAGAUGAUGAACCAAAAUAUCCUGUCUGAAAGUGAAGGUACUAAGAACACGCAAAUGCAUGCUGAUUUCGAUCACAUCCUUGUUCUGUAUGAUUCUGAAAUGCAAGAGCAAACAGAAGAUCCAGGAGAUCGUUUUGCUCAAGUUCUAAGAUCUUUCAAAUGUCUUUCCAUGUUGAAGCGCUUUUCACGUCUUGAUCAGCCCCCAACACUUUGGAUUAUCACUCGCGGGUCAUCUUCAGUGCAAGAGCAAGACAUCGUGAGCCCGUUCCUGGCAGGUACGUCAUCUCUGUGCUUAUCCAUAUUUCAGGAGUACCCACUCUUCAAGGUUAAGGCAGUUGACUUGACCCCACAGCAAAACUUCGUUGAUGCAGCCAUGGAAGUUUUGUCCGUCUUACAGGCAAAUCUUAGGGAAAAUGAAAUUGCAGCUCGUAUGGAUACCUCCGCAGACAACAUGCAGGUCAACCUUUACGCUAGGAGGCUGAGCUCGAUGAAACCUGACCAGAUCGUCACAACAUGUUCUCCCAACGAAUCAUGGACAUUUGACCCCAAGCAGAGGCAAAAUGGGAAGAAACUCUACAAAGCUCAAUCGAGUCCUAGCACACCAACAAGAAAUGAAGCUACAGUUAAGGUUGCGGCCUUUGCUGUAUGCCCCUUUGCUGACGUGUUGGGGAGGCAUUAUGGGCCUGCCCACGACAUCCACCUCAUCUGUGGCACCGCACAUCACCCACCCACAGCAAUGACGGUACAGGAAGGAUCAAGGGUAAUGGGAGUCGUCAUGGGCUGUAUCAGUCCUCAAAUGAACAUACAGAUGAGAAACCUAGUGCCCAUACCGGGUACCCUCUCUUGGGACAAUGCAGUUGCAAUAGUCAAAGACCUCUUGCCAGCAUUCUCUUUCUUCCAGAAGAUCCAGACAGUGUGUCAAGAAGAUAGAGUUGUUGUUUUCCUGCCCGGCGGGGUUAACAAAGAGUCACUGGCUUAUGCCUCCCUGGCACUACACCACAAGGCUGACGUCUGUAUUGUGGCAGAUACAGUCCAAAAUGUAAACAUUGAAAAACAUCUUGUCUAUACAUCAGGAUCCCGCUCACCUACAUCGUCAGCACUGAUCACAACGUACGACAAGGUUGAGCAAGACAUACCAGACAAACAUGCAAGUGUGGUGUUCUUACCUAAAGGGGACAGGGCAGGAGACGUCCUCCAACAAGCUACAAGGAAGUUACAAGACUUUGGAACUUUAGUUAAUUUGGGCGGCUCACCAAUCCAUAUGGAACAACUUCCAAAGAACAUCAAAUACAUCGCUGUGGAUCCUCUCGCUAGUUGCAAGGAAGAAUCAUCCCUCGUUUGCAUGGCAGACAACAUUCAACAGCUUCUAUCAAAAUUUGACAAGUCAGACAACACGCUUUUCUCGUUCAUACCAUCUGUACAAACCAAGAUGGAGCUAUCCUCUUUAUCCCACAUAUUGCACCAACAACAGAAGGGACUGAAGAUGCCCGAUAUAGUGACCAUCGAUGACAGGGUAGUAGAGUUGGGCCUAGACAUCAAACAAAGCCUGUUUAUAGCUGACGACAAAUCUACAUACGUUGUCACGGGAGGUCUGAAGGGCUUUGGUCUUGCCCUACUGGAAUGGCUGGCCAGGUCUGGAGCACGUUAUCUGGUUGUUCUUGCAAGAAGUGAACCGAAUGAAGAAGCCAGAAUAAUGCUGGCAGCAUUGGCAUCAAAGUCUGUUGACGUCAAGGUGAUGGAAGUGGAUGUAACCAACAAGAAAGCUGUAGAGGAGGCACUGGCUUGGGUGCGUGGUACUAUGCCACCAAUAGAGGGGAUAUUCCACUGUGCAGCAGUAUAUGCAGACAAACUGAUUGAUCAGACUACUCAAGACGACUGGGAAAGGGUCAUGCUUCCAAAGGCAGUUGGUGCUAUAAUCUUACAUGACGUCACGAAGAAGCUCCACAUCAGGCUUAAGCACUUUGUCCUCAUCUCCUCAGUCGUUGCUCUGUUUGGUAACACAGGACAGGUCGGCUACUGUGCAGCUAACAGCACUCUGAUAGCACUGGGAGAAGCAAGACGGCAAGAGGGUCUGCCUGCAACAGUCGCCAGUUUUGGGGUCAUCAACACCGUUGGAUUUGCAGAGAGAUCCGGUCUUGUCCAAACGUGGGAGAGAAUGGGUGUGCAAAGCAUCUCACCACAUGACGCAUUGGAAAUCCUUGGGUGCAUGACGGAAAAUCAGUAUCCUCAUUUUGGGAUCACUGCCACCUUCGAUAUUCGAAAAUAUUGUAGUACCCACAAGUCAAUGGCGCUGCAACACCUACAGGCCCCUGACACCUGCUUUUCUCGAUUCACAACAUUGGUACCAAAUGACGUGUUCAUUGGGUCAGUAUCCCUCUCUGACAAAGUGCUUGUUUCAACCAAAGACAAUGGUCUAAGGACCAUACAGGAGGAGCUGAUUGCUUACAUAUGCAAACAGCUUGGCAUUGAAGACCCGACUGAAAUCACCAUCGAGGCAAUUCCAGUAUCCCUUGGACUGGACUCUCUCUUGUCUGUGGACAUGAGCAACGACAUAGCAGACAAAUUUGAGGUGCAGGUUACAACCGUGGAACUUCUGAGUGACAAAAUGACUAUCAAGAUGCUCAGUGAAUCCAUCUAUGACAAAAUGGUUAACGUAGCUGGUAGCCACGGAACAACAACAGACUCCCUCAACCCAUUGGCACCUGAAAGAAACUCGUGGCUUCACUUCCUUGUUAAGCUCCAAGACCCGGUCCUUACCCUGGUUUGCUUCCCUGCAAAUGGUGGAGGUCCAUCACUCUUCCAUCAGUGGAAAGAACAUUUUGCAAAACACAACAUUGAGGUUGUAGUCGCCACUCUGCCGGGCUGGGAAAGCAGAGAAAGGGAAUCUCCCAUCAGCAGCCUACAGCAGAUUGUUGAGGCACUUGGGAGUCAAAUCAUGGAGACGUUGGUGAACAGGAAGAUGGUAUUUUAUGGCCACAGCAUGGGAUCACUCAUAGCAUUUGAGGUCGCACACUUGAUCCACACCAAAGGCAGUGUAUGCCCUUCCCAUCUAUUUGUUGGAGGGUGGUAUGCUCCAUCUCUACCCUAUCCACAUCCACAGGACCUGAGGGUAUCACCCACUUUGUUCGACCCUUUAGCUGGAACACAGCAGAUCAUGGGAGAGGCUAAAACAUUCUCCUUCCUACCAAAAUCUAUUGUUAACAACCCCACCCACCUGCGGCGACUGUUGCCAUGUCUCCAGGCAGGGUUAACGAUCUGCAAGUCUUACAUCUGCGAACACAAGGAGCCACUGCCAUGUAAUGUUGUUGCAUUUGGCGGCGAAGACGACCCCUUUGUUUCCCCCGAACUUCUUGACAACUGGGAGCUUGUUGCAUCCGACUCACCAGCCACAAGACCAGCCUUCAGGAAGUGCAUUGUGCCGGGUAGGCAUUUCUUCAUCAUAUCGUCAAGACAACGCGUUCUCAACAAAGUGACGAGUGUCCUGCAGGAAGACAACGCAAUGAUUCAACCAUCAGACAAAAGUAGUGGAAGAGAUACACCGAAAGUGGUCGACACGGAAGCGACCCUGUCCCCAACAAUGGUUUCCAGUGAUCUGUCUCCUGCAAAGUCUGCAUCAACUGAACGACAGGUGUCUUUGACACCGAUAGGAAAGGCUCAACUGAGGAAAGAGUGUGCUAAUGGUUCAUCAACAUCACACAGCAUCGACUCCCCCCAACAACAGAUCAAAAACUCCAGUCCAGAUGUGUCACAUGCACUAAACGAUGGUCUUCUGCAGAUGCUCAAGAAAGGUAGUACAGUGAAGAAGAUGACAUCCAAAGGGUGGACGCACAAGAAACACCUCCAGUUGGUGAUGAAGAAUGGCUUGGCUGCAGACCUUCUUUGGGGCUCGAACGGCAAAACCAGACAGCUUUCAGUUUUGAGUAUCUCCAGUAUCCAGAGUUCCACAGUUGAAGGUAAACCCAGUCUCCAUUUGAUAACCGAGGAACGAGACUUCACGUUCAUCUUCAACUCCAACAAGGACAUGGAGAGCUGGAGGCACGCCCUGUGGACCCUACUCAACACAUGUACAGCUUCAGAUGAAGAUCCAGAGAGGGAAGACACACACCUUUAAAGAGUUCUCCGUACCCUGGGUGAAGCUCGUCCUCACAGGUGCUUACACACAGAAGACGAUUCAAUGAGUCUUGACAACUAUCAUCAACGAAUGACUAACAAUAACAUGUCUAAACCUACUGUCAUUAGAAAGUUUCAUUGCAAAUUCAUGCCCGAGGGCUAAUUGCAUGAACAGAAGAAACAUUUGUAUAAAAACAGAUAAUUAGUACACAUAGAACUACUGAUAACUAUUAAGAAACUACUAGUAAAAACUACUGGGUUUGACUUCUUUUUUGAAGACAGAGGAAGACAAAGGAUCCCACUUUUUCCGUAAUUUGUGAUUAAAGGGAUAAGACCGCUCAAGUAUUGUAUGACUUUUGUGACAGCCAGUCAAAGUCAGUUAGAUACUGUUGUAAGAUUCUUAGCUUGAAAUCUUAUGGAAUAAUAUAUGUACUCAAGCCACUGAUUUCAAGUCUACAAAUAUACAUGUAUAUGGCACAUAAUGUACAUGUACAUUUGGCUAUCUAAUCCUUCAAAGACUUUUCCUACCAAUAUUUACCCGUUUUACAGUGAUUGCAAAGGAUGAUGACAUCAUACGAUUGCAUUGCAUAAUAUUAAUCCUUAAUUUUUUAUUGGAUUUAUAAUGUACUACAUGUAGUAUAUGAAUAAAUGUUUUAGAUAUACAUGUAUGUAAGGAUAUACAUGUAUCUUGCAGUGGCAGCGUUUUUGUAUGUGUGUAUGCUGAAUAGACGAUGGUGUUAUUUAAGGUGUUCAUGGACGAAAUGGGCUUUAAUAGAGACUUUAGCGCAUCAGCAAAAUGUAGUAAAUAGCGUUUCAAAGGAUUAAGAUUUCAAAAUUUUAUGGAAAUUUUCAUGGAAUAAUAGCAAAAGCGGAUUUCAUGCCAAUUCGAGCUUUCAUGAAUAAAUAAAAAAUAUGUAUGGCAGAUAAUGCACAUGUAGAUCAGUUGUAGAUCAAUAUAUUCUCCAUAUCUAACCGUUUUACAAUUACUGAAAAGUAACAUUAAAGUAGUAUACAAUAUCAUAUAUAUAUCGAGAGAUUUUUGUGCUAAGCAUUACAUAAUAUGUAUCAUUGAGUACUUUAUUUGAUUUAUAAGAAGGUACUGCAUGUAGUAUGUGGAUUGAUGUUUUUCAUUGUUUUCAUUUCAUUGUUUUUCAGUGAUAUAUCUUUCAGUAUGGGAAGUGGCAGUACUAGGUAUAUAUAGUAGAUAAAUCAUAUGGAAUAGAUGGUGGUGGUCUCUAAAGAAGUUUGUGGACGAAAUGUACUUUAAUAGAGACGUUAAGAUUUGCUUGAUGUAUAACCACAAUUUUCCCCUCGAAACGCGAGAAAUAGCGUUUCAGAGGGUUAAACGUUUCCAACUGCAUGCGUUAAUGUUAUUCCUGAAGUCAACUUCAUGUAGUUUUAUGUUCUUGUCUUAAGCACUACUGUAAAUUGUAAGAAACAUAUGCACAUUUACAUGGAGACAGGUUUAUAAAUUUUCAAACAAUAAUGUUUUUAUCUAGUGAAUUCAUUACAUGAAGAAUAAUCUGUCAUUUUUUAAAGUUUUUUUUUUGCAUUUAGAUGUGAACUAAUUGCUCAACAGCGCUGUAUGUACUACAUGUAUAUGGAUCCUGUCUAAUAACUUGGAUGUAACGUGUGUAUUUGUUAACCAAGAACAGUUAUAGGUGAUAAAUGAAUGUUAACAUGUAAGGAUGGAAUAUCAUAUAAUUAUUAUUAAGGUGGAUAUCUUAUAAUGCAGACGUUGUUUGAGAAUAGGUUAUUAACAGCAAAUGUCUGCAAGGAUAUGGUGGCGUAGGUAAAAAAAAUAGAUUUGGCUCAGAUUUUGCAGUGAUAGUACCCACAAUUCCUCAAAAUAGCUUUCUUUCCGGUCAAAACAGAUCGUUGCCAUGGUAACUGGUCAAACAAGUCUUGCGUUUGAUGUAAUAUAUGAUUUUAUUCAUAUUCAAGAUAAAUAUAUGUAUAUAUAUAUAACAUUUAUCUAAUUAAAUCUUGACAGAGUUAAUCAUGUCAUGACACAGGUAACUCUUUGCAUUGUCUAUCAAAUGAAUGCUUGUAGAGGUUGGGUUCUUGUUUUGUGUCCCUAAAAGUAGGCCUUAAGCGGGAAUAAGCAUUUUGUGCUAUGUUUGACGUUCUGCAAAUACCAAUGUACGAUUUUUCUUCGGAAUAAACCUUUUUAG